CAGACGGCGUGGGUGGGGCUCCUGCCAACGGCCGCUCUGUGGGAGUGGGGGAGAGCAAGGCGCCGGCUGCGGGGGGGCCUCGGCUGCGUGCCGCUUCGCCGACCGCCCACCGGAGAGGCGGCACGCCAGGAGGAACGGCACUGCUCCGCGCCGGUUGGCGGCGGCCCGCUUAUGUGGAGGUCGGGGCUGUGCCGGGCAGGUGUGUAUGGAGGACAGCGUAAUGGCUGCUACAGUAAAAGAGUGUCUUGAGCUCCAGCUCCUGGAAGUGGAAAUGCUCUUGUCAAUGUUUCCUAAAAAAGGCGAAAUAAAUCUGUGUGAUGAGGAUGCUGUGCUUGGCAUGCGGCGCUGA
Molecule: long non-coding RNA, 349 nt
Filed under: Apteryx rowi (Okarito brown kiwi)
Lineage: Eukaryota; Metazoa; Chordata; Aves; Apterygiformes; Apterygidae
Description: lncRNA (ENSARWG00000005198.1)
Source: RNAcentral